This 66-nucleotide transfer RNA is filed under the name Typhlopatsa pauliani. Its description in RNAcentral is "tRNA-Asp". Lineage: Eukaryota; Metazoa; Arthropoda; Malacostraca; Decapoda; Atyidae. The record is from RNAcentral.
UAAAAAUUAGUUAAUUUAUAACAUAAGCUUGUCAAGCUUAAAUUAUUAGAGAACUAAUAUUUUUAA